GUGCCAGCAGCCGCGGUAACACGGGGGGAGCAAGCGUUGUUCGGAAUCACUGGGCGUAAAGGGCGUGUAGGCGGUGCGGUAAGUGAGAUGUGAAAUCCCUCGGCUCACCCGAGGAUCUGCAUCUCAUACUGCUGCGCUUGAGUACGGGAGAGGAUGAGGGAAUUCCUGGUGUAGCGGUGAAAUGCGUAGAUAUCAGGAGGAACACCGGUGGCGAAAGCGCUCAUCUGGCCCGAUACUGACGCUGAGGCGCGAAAGCUAGGGGAGCAAACGGGAUUAGAUACCCCGGUAGUCC
Molecule: ribosomal RNA, 292 nt
Filed under: uncultured bacterium
Lineage: Bacteria
Description: partial 16S ribosomal RNA
Rfam family: Bacterial small subunit ribosomal RNA
Source: RNAcentral